This 407-nucleotide ribosomal RNA is filed under the name uncultured bacterium. Its description in RNAcentral is "partial 16S ribosomal RNA". It matches the Rfam family "Bacterial small subunit ribosomal RNA", at positions 30 to 526 of the family's 1533-position model. The record is from RNAcentral.
AUUGAACGCUAGCGGGAUGCUUUACACAUGCAAGUCGAACGGAGGGGCGGACGGGUGAGUAAUAUAUCGGUACGUGCCCAGUAGCGGGGGAUAACUACUCAACAGAGUGGCUAAUCCCGCAUACUAUUAGAGCGGCCGAUAUCGGAGUAGCGAGUUGGUGGGGUAAAGGCUCACCAGGGCCACGAUCCGUAGCUGGUUUGAGAGGAAGACCAGCCACACUGGGACUGAGACACGGCCCAGACUCCUACGGGAGGCAGCAGUGGGGAAUAUUGUACAAUGGGGGAAACCCUGAUCCAGCCAUCCCGCGUGUAUGAUGAAGGCCUUAGGGUUGUAAAGUACUUUUGGUAGAGAAGCGUUAUCUGCAGAAGAAGCACCGGCUAACUACGUGCCAGCAGCCGCGGUAAUUC